UACGAAGGGGGCUAGCGUUGCUCGGAAUUACUGGGCGUAAAGCGCACGUAGGCGGCUUCUUAAGUCGGUGGUGAAAUCCUGGAGCUCAACUCCAGAACUGCCUUCGAUACUGGGAGCUUGAGUCCGGGAGAGGUGAGUGGAACUGCGAGUGUAGAGGUGAAAUUCGUAGAUAUUCGCAAGAACACCAGUGGCGGAAGGCGGCUCACUGGCC
This 211-nucleotide ribosomal RNA is filed under the name uncultured bacterium. RNAcentral's name for it is "partial 16S ribosomal RNA". It matches the Rfam family "Bacterial small subunit ribosomal RNA", at positions 524 to 734 of the family's 1533-position model. The record is from RNAcentral.